GGUUAAGUGACUAAGCGUACACGGUGGAUGCCUUGGCAGUCAGAGGCGAUGAAAGACGUAGUAACUUGCGAUAAGCCCAGAUUAGGUAGUAACAACCAUUUGAGUCUGGGAUUUCUGAAUGGGGAAACCCACUUACAUAAGUAAGUAUCGCUGCGUGAAUACAUAGCGCAG
This 171-nucleotide ribosomal RNA is filed under the name Vibrio parahaemolyticus. Its description in RNAcentral is "partial 23S ribosomal RNA". It matches the Rfam family "Bacterial large subunit ribosomal RNA", at positions 1 to 174 of the family's 2925-position model. Lineage: Bacteria; Pseudomonadati; Pseudomonadota; Gammaproteobacteria; Vibrionales; Vibrionaceae. The record is from RNAcentral.